Molecule: transfer RNA, 74 nt
Filed under: Camelus bactrianus (Bactrian camel)
Lineage: Eukaryota; Metazoa; Chordata; Mammalia; Artiodactyla; Camelidae
Also listed under: 2 other names
Rfam family: tRNA
About the family: Transfer RNA (tRNA) molecules are approximately 80 nucleotides in length. Their secondary structure includes four short double-helical elements and three loops (D, anti-codon, and T loops). Further hydrogen bonds mediate the characteristic L-shaped molecular structure. tRNAs have two regions of fundamental functional importance: the anti-codon, which is responsible for specific mRNA codon recognition, and the 3' end, to which the tRNAs corresponding amino acid is attached (by aminoacyl-tRNA synthetases). tRNAs cope with the degeneracy of the genetic code in two manners: having more than one tRNA (with a specific anti-codon) for a particular amino acid; and 'wobble' base-pairing, i.e. permitting non-standard base-pairing at the 3rd anti-codon position.
Source: Rfam by way of RNAcentral
GUUGGUAUAGCUUAGUGGUAGAGCACAUGCUUUGCAUGCAUGGGGUCCUGUGGGUUCAAUCCCCAGUACCUCCA